Molecule: long non-coding RNA, 438 nt
Organism: Manis pentadactyla (Chinese pangolin)
Lineage: Eukaryota; Metazoa; Chordata; Mammalia; Pholidota; Manidae
Exons: 3
Source: RefSeq, a predicted model, not a curated record
AAAGAGGAUGGAAUUUCAGCAAUGCUUUUGGGUAGGACUCAACGCAGCUGGUGGAGGGAUGACAGAAAGGAGUUACUCUUUCAGCAUGUUCCUGCUGCGCUGGAGGCCCUGGGAUCUAUGACCAUGACCACAUCUUGCCCCUGAUCCUUGAAGGAAUAUGACUUAGCCCUGACGCUUCAACCCCAUGGUUGACGUAAGGGUUCGAAGUUCGAACACCUUUCCAGGCUGAGUCUCCAACCUCCUAGAAGCCUCUCACCACACAAUGUGAAGCACACUUUUAGAGAAGAGCUGUGACAAAUGGUCAUCUGAGGGAGUAUUAUCAUCAGUCUGACAAAACAUUCAAGACGGAUCACCGUUACCUAUGGAUUUUAAUAUUGGCACAGACUUUGAAGAUUAUCUGGCCUAAUCUAUUAUUUUAAAGAUGAAAUUAAGAACAAA